UCCCUGGUGGCUCAGUCGGUGAAGAGUCUGCCUGCAAUGCAGGAGACCCAGGUUCGAUCCCUGGGUUGGGAA
This 72-nucleotide transfer RNA is filed under the name Bos taurus (domestic cattle). It matches the Rfam family "tRNA". From Rfam's summary of the family: Transfer RNA (tRNA) molecules are approximately 80 nucleotides in length. Their secondary structure includes four short double-helical elements and three loops (D, anti-codon, and T loops). Further hydrogen bonds mediate the characteristic L-shaped molecular structure. tRNAs have two regions of fundamental functional importance: the anti-codon, which is responsible for specific mRNA codon recognition, and the 3' end, to which the tRNAs corresponding amino acid is attached (by aminoacyl-tRNA synthetases). tRNAs cope with the degeneracy of the genetic code in two manners: having more than one tRNA (with a specific anti-codon) for a particular amino acid; and 'wobble' base-pairing, i.e. permitting non-standard base-pairing at the 3rd anti-codon position. Lineage: Eukaryota; Metazoa; Chordata; Mammalia; Artiodactyla; Bovidae. The record is from Rfam by way of RNAcentral. RNAcentral also lists the same sequence under 1 other name.